CUCAACUGGAACAUGAAGACAUAAGCUGGCCUAGCGGCGGUUGGCACCGGCUCCGCCACCAGUAGCACUUCCAGUAGCACCUCCAGUAGCACCUCCAGUAGCACCUCCAGUAGUACCUCCAGUAGCACCUCCAGACGGAACAGUAUUUUCUGAGUUUUGGCCUGGAGCUCCGAACGUCAAGAACGCCAUCACUUUUAAAUUCUCGCCGUUUAAAACCAACGGUUUCGUCUGAAAUGUAAAGAAAAAUUAAAUAAAUUGAUUAACAUUAAAAUAUAAAUUAGAACUUACCGUUAAUGCUAGCUGAACCGCUUCCCGCUCAAAGAAAGUGAUGAAAACAGAACGGUUGAUUCCCGCCCUUGAAUUUUCCUCAAUAUCCAUAACUCUGCCAAAGAACGAGAAUUUGUCCUAAAAUACAAUAAAAUUAAAUAAAAUUAAAAUUCAAAAUUAAUAAUUUAAACUUUACUUUUAUGACAUCCAAUGAGAUAUGCAUUGCAAUUCGUUUUACGAAUAUACGGAACGAAGCGUAUCGUUUUACGACUGCUUUUACAGCCUUUAACUCUUCUUCCGUAUCCGUAAUUUGAAGAUUUUUUAAACGAAGAGUUUUCUCGAAGGCUAUGGUCAUCUUUCUGAUAGCAGCCAAUUCUGGCCCUCUCUGAGAGGAGCAGCUUCCCUAUUCCCUAUUGCAGUAACUGACAUCUGGUAUUGCAUUUUUUCUAUGAAACCUUUUGACGAACUUUAAAAAGAUCUUGAAUAUGGCUGUAAAGUAGAGUUUACAUCGAUCAUGCGAUAUUUUUUUCUUCAUUCUACAUUUUUAGGUUGGAUAGAUUUGAAUGGUUUAAUUGAUAACACCCUAUUUAGAUUCUUAUUUCAUUCUUGACUAAAUUGGGGUUAGUUCAAUACUACAGUACCAAGUGUCAGUCAUAGACUCAUAUCUGUUAAAACCUUAUUUAUUUUUUUUUUACAAGUGCUCAUUUCAAAAGUAACCUAAAAUGGAUUCGGGUGGAUUCGGUAAACCACAAAAACCUCCUAAAGUUGCCAAGGUUAAAAACAAAACACCGGCAGAAAUUCAAAUCACUGCUGAGCAGUUGCUUCGGGAAGCUAAGGAACGUGAUCUUGAAAUUGUUCCACCAGUAAGUGUUUUGGCAAUAGAUAAUAACUUGAAGAAUUGAAGUAAGACAUUUUCUAGUUUUAGCCCAACAACAAACAACAAACAACAAAAAAUUUCAGAUCCCGAUGAGUUAGCAGACUACCAGUACAAGAAACGCAAAACCUUUGAAGAUGCUCUGCGGCGUAAUCGUAAUGUUAUUACCAACUGGAUCAAGUAUGCUCAAUGGGAAGAAAGCCAAAAAGAAAUUCAAAGAGCCAGAAGUGUUUUUGAGCGUGCUCUUGAUGUAGACCAUCGUAACAUUACCCUUUGGCUGAAGGUAAUUCA
Long non-coding RNA from Daphnia pulex (common water flea), 1432 nucleotides. RefSeq lists it as uncharacterized. Lineage: Eukaryota; Metazoa; Arthropoda; Branchiopoda; Diplostraca; Daphniidae. The record is from RefSeq and is a predicted model, not a curated record. The transcript is spliced from 2 exons.